RNAcentral lists this ribosomal RNA (301 nucleotides) under uncultured bacterium. RNAcentral describes it as "partial 16S ribosomal RNA". It matches the Rfam family "Bacterial small subunit ribosomal RNA", at positions 509 to 807 of the family's 1533-position model. The record is from RNAcentral.
CAGCCGCCGCGGUAAUACGUAGGUGGCAAGCGUUGUCCGGAAUUAUUGGGCGUAAAGUGUCUAUAGGUGGCUUUUCAAGUCCGCCGUCAAAUCCCAGGGCUCAACCGUGGACAGGCGGUGGAAACUACCAAGCUGGAGUACGGUAGGGGCAGAGGGAAUUUCCGAUGGAGCGGUGAAAUGCGUUGAGAUCGGAAAGAACACCAACGGAGAAAGCACUCUGCUGGGCCGACACUGACACUGAGAGACGAAAUCUAGGGGAGCAAAUGGGAUUAGAUACCCCGGUAGUCCCUGUCUCUUAUAC